GGGUCAGUAGGUUGGUCGUGCCACCGGUACGUACUGGUCUCACUGAUUCCUCCUUCCUGAAGAACCGUGAUGCCAUUAAUUUGGUGUUGCGGGGAAACAGGACUGUUACUUUGAAAAAAUUAGAGUGUUUAAAGCAAGCUAACGCUUGGAUACAUUAGCAUGGAAUAAUGAAAUAGGACGAUCGAUCCUAUUUUGUUGGUUUCUAGGAUUGACGUA
This 216-nucleotide ribosomal RNA is filed under the name Glomeromycotina sp. RNAcentral describes it as "partial small subunit ribosomal RNA". The stretch from base 40 to 216 matches the Rfam family "Eukaryotic small subunit ribosomal RNA", at positions 686 to 864 of the family's 1831-position model. Lineage: Eukaryota; Fungi; Glomeromycota. The record is from RNAcentral.